RNAcentral lists this ribosomal RNA (1512 nucleotides) under Triticum aestivum (bread wheat). RNAcentral's name for it is "partial small subunit ribosomal RNA". The record is from RNAcentral. Lineage: Eukaryota; Viridiplantae; Streptophyta; Magnoliopsida; Poales; Poaceae.
AUGUCUCCGUACGCCGUCCUCGCCGCCGUGCUUCUCGCCUUCUGCUACGCCGUCUGGAAGGCUCGAGGCGGCGGCGGCAGCAGCAGGCUCCCGCCCUCGCCGCCGUCGCGUCCGCUGCUCGGCCACCUGCACCUCCUGGGCCGGCUGCCGCACCGCUCCUUGCGCGACCUGCACGCUCGGUACGGCACCGAUGGCGGCCUCCUGCUCUUGCAGCUCGGGCGCAGGCGGACGCUGGUGGUGUCCACGGCGGCCGCCGCGGCGGACCUGUACAAGAACCACGACCUCGCCUUCGCCUCCCGCGUGCCCAGCGCGCCGGUGGACAAGCUGACGUACGGCUCCAUCAACGUCUCCUUCUCGCCCUACGGCGACGCCUGGCGCCGCAGCAAGAAGAUGGCCGUCGUCCACCUCCUCUCCCCGCGCCGCGUCGACUCGUUCGCCUCCGUGCGCGCCGUUGAGGUGGCCGCCCUCGUCGCCGGGGCACGCCGCGCCGCGGAGGCGGGUGAGAUCGUGGAGCUGAGGGAGCUCCUGUGCGCCUACAGCAACGCGGUGGUUACCCGCGCGACGACCGGCGCCGCAGGGGCCACGGCGGAGAAGCUAAAGCAGCUUUUGGGUAACUCCGCAGCGUUCAUGUCGGGGCUCCAGGCAGAAGACGUGCUCCCCGGCGCGGCGGCGAAGGUUGUUAGGUGGGCGACGGGGCUCGAGAAGAGGCUCGACGCGGAGCUCGAACUGUGGGACAAAUUCCUAUCGGAGACAAUCGCCGAGCACCUUGAGAAGAAGAAGUGCGACGGCAGCGCAGGGGAGGAGGACUUCCUGGACGUCCUGCUUCGGCUGAGGGAAGAAGGCACCGCCGGACUCGAGCUCACCGACGAUCGCAUCAAAAGCAUCAUCAAGGACAUAAUAGCCGCCGGAACAGACACAUCGUCCCUCACGCUGGAAUGGGCCAUGGCGGAGCUGGUCGGGAACCCACAGGCAAUGGCCAAGCUGCAGGACGAGGUAACCCGAGCCACCGAAGGCAAACCGACCAUCGAGGAAGACGACCUGAGAAGGAUGGAGUACCUCAAGGCGGUGCUGAAGGAGGUGCUCCGGCUCCACCCGGCGGCACCGCUCCUCGUCCCGCACCAAUCGACCACGACGGCGGUCGUGCAGGGCUACGAGAUCCCGGCCGAGACGGCGCUCUUCGUCAACGCCUGGGCGAUCGGAAGGGACCCGGCGGCAUGGGGAGCGACGGCGGAGGAGUUCCGGCCGGAGCGGUUCCUGGGCGGCGGCGGCGCUGAGGGCGUGGACCUACGGGGGAACGACUACCAGCUCCUCCCGUUCGGCGCGGGUCGGCGGCUCUGCCCCGGCAUCGGCUUCGCGAUGCCGGUGCUGGAGAUCGCGCUCUCCAGCCUCGUGCGCCACUUCGACUGGGAACUCCCCGCCAGGGCGCGUCUGGACAUGAGUGAGGCGCCGGGGCUGACCACGCCGCCGCUGGCUUCGCUGCGACUCGCCCCCAAGUGCAGGGGGCAGCAGUAG